UACGUAGGGGGCAAGCGUUGUCCGGAUUUAUUGGGCGUAAAGAGCGUGUAGGCGGUUUGGUAGGUCCGCUGUGAAAGUUCAGGGCUCAACCCUGAAAUGCCGGUGGAAACUGUCGGGCUAGAGUCCGGAAGAGGCGAGUGGAAUUCCUGGUGUAGCGGUGAAAUGCGCAGAUAUCAGGAGGAACACCAAUGGCGAAGGCAGCUCGCUGGGACGGUACUGACGCUGAGACGCGAAAGCGUGGGGAGCAAACAGG
RNAcentral lists this ribosomal RNA (253 nucleotides) under uncultured bacterium. RNAcentral's name for it is "partial 16S ribosomal RNA". It matches the Rfam family "Bacterial small subunit ribosomal RNA", at positions 524 to 776 of the family's 1533-position model. The record is from RNAcentral.